Molecule: ribosomal RNA, 252 nt
Filed under: uncultured bacterium
Lineage: Bacteria
Description: partial 16S ribosomal RNA
Rfam family: Bacterial small subunit ribosomal RNA
Source: RNAcentral
UACGGGGGGAGCAAGCGUUGUUCGGAUUUACUGGGCGUAAAGGGCGCGUAGGCGGCGUGACAAGUCACUUGUGAAAUCUCCGGGCUUAACUCGGAACGGUCAAGUGAUACUGUCGUGCUAGAGUACAGAAGGGGCAACUGGAAUUCUCGGUGUAGCGGUGAAAUGCGUAGAUAUCGAGAGGAACACCUGCGGCGAAGGCGGGUUGCUGGGCUGAUACUGACGCUGAGGCGCGAAAGCCAGGGAGCGAACGGG